ACUCUAUUAAACCUAAAGGCGCAAUGAAAGUAAAGGUCCGCCUCGCGCGGACCUAGGGAGGAUGAGACCGUCCACGGGCGGACUCCGCACUCCCGGGGCGUCUCGUUCUCAUCGCGAGAAGAGGCGCACCCAGAGCGUACACGCUGGGACCCGAAAGAUGGUGAACUAUGCCUGGUCAGGACGAAGUCAGGGGAAACCCUGAUGGAGGUCCGUAGCGAUUCUGACGUGCAAAUCGAUCGUCGGAACUGGGUAUAGGGGCGAAAGACUAAUCGAACCUUCUAGUAGCUGGUUCCUUCCGA
Molecule: ribosomal RNA, 299 nt
Filed under: Bolbites onitoides
Lineage: Eukaryota; Metazoa; Arthropoda; Insecta; Coleoptera; Scarabaeidae
Description: partial 28S ribosomal RNA
Rfam family: Eukaryotic large subunit ribosomal RNA
Source: RNAcentral